GCCUAAUACAUGMAGUCGAGCGGMAGAUGGGAGCUUGCUCCUGAUGUYAGCGGCGGACGGGUGAGUAACACGUGGGUAACCUGCCUGUAAGACUGGGAUAACUCCGGGAAACCGGGGCUAAUACCGGAUGCUUGAUUGAACCGCAUGGUUCAAUUAUAAAAGGUGGCUUUUAGCUACMACUUACAGAUGGACCCGCGGCGCAUUAGCUAGUUGGKGAGGUAACGGCUCACCAAGGCAACGAUGCGUAGCCRACCUGAGAGGGUGAUCGGCCACACUGGGACUGARACACGGCCCARAYUCYUACGGGAGGCAGCAGUAGGGAAUCUUCCGCAAUGGACGAAAGUCUGACGGAGCAMCGCCGCGUGAGUGAUGAAGGUUUUCGGAUCGUAAAACUCUGUUGUUAGGRAAGAACAAGUACCGUUCGAAUAGGGCGGUACCUUGACGGUACCUAACCAGAAAGCCACGGCUAACUACGUGCCAGCAGC
This 485-nucleotide ribosomal RNA is filed under the name Bacillus licheniformis. RNAcentral's name for it is "partial 16S ribosomal RNA". It matches the Rfam family "Bacterial small subunit ribosomal RNA", at positions 46 to 515 of the family's 1533-position model. Lineage: Bacteria; Bacillati; Bacillota; Bacilli; Caryophanales; Bacillaceae. The record is from RNAcentral.